UAGCUAAUGAACAUACACAGUUAAGUUCCCCUGAUGGUCAGGACCAAGGAAAGGCCACUUUUUACUCACGAUUUCUGCAGCCCACAGAGUGUCGCACAACUGGUGCAGCGACAUACUAAGGAUGGUUUUCUCACCCCGGAAGCGGUGCCUGAGCGCAGGGACCCUGGCUGUGGGUGUUUUCUGCGUCAGUUGAGACGCCCUCUGCUGGCCGUUACUGAGUGGGAACGAAGCUGUGCGCGCACCCUCUCGGGGCGGUCUAGCGGAAUCAAGCAGGUUCUUGAGACCUGCUUCUUCGCUGUUGGCAAAGGGAAGCUCGCCUCCUACUGUUCCGGCUCGUUUCUGCGACCAGCCUUUGAUCACAGCUAUAGUAAAUGAAUGCACAGAGGAGCGCGCGGCCAAUCCCUCGCCGCGAGACACGGCUUCGUUUGCCGUUUCACCAACGGCCAGCAGACGGCGCCCGACUCUCCUUGGGAUCAACUGGCGUCUCAACAGUUGAGGGAAACUCGUGCUCAGCAAUGCUUACACCACCCUCCCAUGGCGCUUAGCAGACAACAAGGAUGUGCUGGUGUCAGAAGCCUCACUGGGAUGGUGGUGAGUCGCUCAUCUGGGCUGAGCAGUGGUCCAGACCGAGGCAGAGGAACUGCCCUUGUUACAGAGGGCGGGCCCACCUGGAAUGCGAGCUGUGACUGUCUCCUAAGGUCUCUCCAGGCUGCAUCCAGAUGGAAAAUCCCAGGGGCGCCCCCACCUUGAAGGCCAGUCGCUGGCAGCAAGGAUGGGCUCCCGCAGGAUGUCACGAAGAGCAGUGUUAGGGAGGGCACGGGGUCCUCUGGCCUGAAGACCUCCCUGCAGGCACUGACUUUAUGCUCCGAGGAAGGAACCGAGGGCACCUGUCCAGGAUGGAGCCCUGUCCUCCGUGUCCUUAUCUCCCACCAGCAAGGAAAUUGGCCGCCCAGAACCUUGCUCUGUCUCUCCACCUCAUUUUCCCAAGUGCGGUGGGACUGCAAGGGGAACGUCUUCACCACUGACAGCUCGGGGUCCUUUUGCCCUGUGAUCAGGCCAUCCAGCCAGUGUGAAGAUUGUGUGGGGCAGGAGUCCCUCCCUGAAGGUACACUGUCAGUGGGGAGACCUCAUCCUCAAGAUCAAGAUAAGCCCCAGAUGAUACAGGUACUUCCUUGGACCCUGGCCUGAUUCUAGGACCUGAGCCGUUAGCCCAGGACCCAGCGAUGCAUCUGAGCUGCACUGGAUCUUGUUCCUGUUGCGGACAGCCUUGUGGGGCGGGGAUGGCUGGGAGACGAGCCCUGGGCACAGGUCUAAUGCUGUGUCCCCAGCUCUGAGGGAAGUCCCCACUAGUGGCUGGAAGAUCACCCGAUCUUUGUGGGGGCAGGUUGAGAUCUUUGUGAAGCUGCCAGUGUACCGCGUUUCUCCCCUCUCCGUCUUGCUAAAAAGAGUCUCCUGCCCCCUUGUAGGGAGAGG
RNAcentral lists this long non-coding RNA (1473 nucleotides) under Bos indicus x Bos taurus (hybrid cattle). Its description in RNAcentral is "lncRNA (ENSBIXG00005011047.1)". Lineage: Eukaryota; Metazoa; Chordata; Mammalia; Artiodactyla; Bovidae. The record is from RNAcentral.